RNAcentral lists this ribosomal RNA (274 nucleotides) under uncultured bacterium. RNAcentral's name for it is "partial 16S ribosomal RNA". It matches the Rfam family "Bacterial small subunit ribosomal RNA", at positions 523 to 796 of the family's 1533-position model. The record is from RNAcentral.
AUACGGAGGGUGCAAGCGUUACUCGGAAUCACUGGGCGUAAAGCGCGCGCAGGCGGGCUGAUAAGUUGGAUGUGAAAGCCUACGGCUCAACCGUAGAACUGCAUCCAAAACUGUCAGUCUAGAGUGUGGGAGAGGAAGAUGGAAUUAGCUGUGUAGGGGUAAAAUCCGUAGAGAUAACUAGGAAUACCAAAAGCGAAGGCAAUCUUCUGGAACACUACUGACGCUGAGGCGCGAAGGCGUGGGGAGCAAACAGGAUUAGAAACCCUGGUAGUCC